GAGAGAAACACAGAGAUAGUGGGGAAAAAGCUAGUAUUCAAAUAUGUAAUGAAUCUAAUGCAAAUCAAUUAAACAUAAAACACAAAGAAUUUGGGAUAUGAAAGAUAAAUUACAUUAUAUCCCUACAAUAUAGUCAUUUAGUUCACCAGUUCACUUUAAUAUCCCAUAAUUCAGAAAACAAAUAUCUUUAUUCAUUUGCAUUGAACUCUAUGAGAUGGCACUGUUUCAGUUGUGCAAUACUUGCAGUUAACCAUAAGAGGGCAGUAGUUACUGAAUAUUUCCUUUGACAAUACUGAAGCUUUAUUGGGUAUCCACAAGCUCCUCCUUGGAUCAUCAUUAUUAUAAUACUAAAAGUAAAAUUCUCCCACUGCUGAUUUAUCUGAACUUCAAGGAUUAUUCAGCAGUCAUGUCACACAAGUUGAGGAAAAUAUUUCUCUUCACACUCUUCAUUCUUGAGUGCAGAUCAGAGGACACAGUUGAUCAGCCAGACAAACAUGUGACUGAAGCUGAAGGAAGAUCAGUGACAUUACAGUGUAAAUAUAAAACAGAUUCAGCAGGAGAAUAUUUAUUCUGGUACAUCCAGAGAGUAAAUGACUUUCCUAAAUACAUCCUGAGGAGAAGCAAAUAUGGAGGAGAAAAUGGCACUGAGUUCCAGGAGAGAUUUCACUCUGAACUUUCAUCAAAUUUAGUUCCUCUGAAGAUCAAGGAUCUGCGUGUGUCUGACUCUGCUGUGUAUUACUGUGCUCUGAGGCCCACAGUCACAGGAAACACAUCAGAUCUAUACAAAAACCUGUUACAAUGAGAGACGAGAAAGAUCAGCUUAUUGUAAAAGUGAUCAAAUAUAAACAAAAUGUAAUCUAAAGUGAGUGAAUCUUUGGCAAUAUAAAGAUGAAACACAUUAA
Megalobrama amblycephala (Wuchang bream) is the source of this 902-nucleotide non-coding RNA. The record is from the annotation of a RefSeq genome assembly. NCBI's taxonomy places the organism in Eukaryota, Metazoa, Chordata, Actinopteri, Cypriniformes, Xenocyprididae.